AGCUAACACAGCUCCUUUAGAAUUUUUCUAGCAGGAUUUCUGAUUUUUGUUGGAAAAUCCAAG
Small nuclear RNA from Mus spicilegus (steppe mouse), 63 nucleotides. Its record names the gene U7. It matches the Rfam family "U7 small nuclear RNA". From Rfam's summary of the family: Animal histone pre-mRNAs are spliced by a different mechanism than nuclear pre-mRNAs and self-splicing introns. This processing involves the U7 snRNP, which contains only one RNA species: U7. The 5' end of U7 RNA is thought to base-pair to a conserved spacer element downstream of the cleavage site in histone pre-mRNA. The record is from Ensembl. NCBI's taxonomy places the organism in Eukaryota, Metazoa, Chordata, Mammalia, Rodentia, Muridae.